Molecule: long non-coding RNA, 1351 nt
Organism: Cornus florida
Lineage: Eukaryota; Viridiplantae; Streptophyta; Magnoliopsida; Cornales; Cornaceae
Exons: 2
Source: RefSeq, a predicted model, not a curated record
AUAUAUGGAAAAAGAGUUGAAUCAGUAAGAAUUAAAGAUUUUGGUAAAUUUGGUGCCUAGGAUUGUGAUGGCUAACUGUUGUGGGUGCAACAUAACCAUCUCUCUCUCUCCACCAACCAAUCCUCAUAUCUCGAUUCAUUACUUAUCCUCUCUCUCUGUCUACUUUGUAUAUUUAUACCCCCAAUAAACCCCUAGCUUCAAUUCAAUCCUCAGAAGUCAUAAGUUCUUCUCUCUUUCUUCAAUCUAAGACUUUUCCUUUGGUCCUCUGUGUAUACAGUAUACACAGAUUGUUUGAUUGCUAUUUUUUUUUUUUUUUUGUGACAAAGUUGGACUUAGGUUUGAAACUUUUUUUAUUUUUUUUUAUUUGUUAUUAAUUUUUUUUUAUGUCCUUUGCUUUGCUUUUUCCCUUUGCUUUUCAUAAAUGUUCUUUAGGGUUAGGGUUUUCGUUGGAGUGCCUUGAGUCUUCUUUCUCUUUUCUUCUCUUUUGCAUGGAGUGAGUGAUGAUGAUAUGAGCAUAUAUCAGUGUCAAGACAUCAGCCGUUUGUUGCGGAUGGAGCAUCAUCAAGAUUCACAUAACUUUUCUAGGGUUUCAUGUGGGGUGGUUGUGGUAUUGAUAAUGGCCUUUUGUGGUCCCUUCUCUUCGCUCCCAAUAGCCCUUUGAUAUGGGAAUCCUGAUGAUGCUGCAGCGGCAAUUAAUGGCUUUUUUUAAUCUUCUUCUCAUCUCAAAACUUAAAACAUUCCAACUAUAUAUAUAUACACACACACACAUACUUUUAUGUAUGUAUACUAUGUUCUUUGUUUUAAAUCAUAUAUGAAUAGUAUAAUAUUGCGGUUUUUUUUUUUUUUUAAAUAGUCAUCGCAACUUCUUAAUCUGUCUGUUCUAAAUUUAUAAAUGGUUGUUAUUUUGUAUAUAUGGAUUAUCCAUGUUGUAUGUACUAGGUUUUGGUUGAGCAAUGUGGUUGACGAACCUCUGGAAUAAUAUUGGUGUAAUCUUUGUUACCUUAAGUUUUAUUUUUCAUUGUUGAGGGAUUUGAGUCACUUCACUUUACCUUUGUGUAGUUCGAUCUGCUGGACUACUACCAUCGUGACUCAGAUUUUGGGCAGAUUGAAUCUUCAAGUUCACAUAAAAGAUGGAAAUUUUCUUCACCGAAUAUGGCUGUGUGUAUGUGUGCACUUGAAGGGGAAUGUUUUUGCUGCUCUGGUUUUGGUUUUGGCAGUCUUAGGGUUUGGUAAAAUUGUCCUUUACUGUAUUUUUAUGCUUUGCUUAACUUGUUUUUUGAAAUUCAUUCCUUUACUUCUCAUGCUUGGAUCAAGUCACUAGAUAUAUAAUUUCAAUGACUGUUAUUUUUCA